RNAcentral lists this long non-coding RNA (1699 nucleotides) under Eucalyptus grandis. RNAcentral describes it as "long non-coding RNA (EGRA_LNC006213)". The record is from RNAcentral. Lineage: Eukaryota; Viridiplantae; Streptophyta; Magnoliopsida; Myrtales; Myrtaceae.
UAAGUACAGGAGGUCUAUCUCCAAAAGAACUUCUGAGCCACCCAUGCUCCUGACCCUUCCACCUCAAACUCCGUGUUCUUCACACUAGGGACCUGAAAAUUUAAGCCCACAAUGGGAUGAGAUAAUGUCUCAGCAAAUUCACCUCCUAAACUCCUAUUAGAAAGGAAAUACGCCUAAAGGCCAUCUAAACCACACACAAGACGGAUGACUUACAUUUGCCUCAGAUCCUUCAUGCAAGUUAGUACAAUUCAUAUACUCAAUCAAUCACUUCAAUUCCAAUCAAACCAUCGAUCAAUUAAUCAAUUAGCUCAAGUCCAUACCAAUAGUACUAUCUAUCCAUUCAAUACCAUAUAUCCAUCCUCUAAUACUACCACUACUCACAACAGUCGCAAUAUAUGGUUUUAGCUCACUCAAAUUGAUAUAUAGAUAGAUAGCUCACUCAAGCUGAUAAUCAUAUAGAUCGUGCUCAUUCAAGCUGAUAAAACAAUCUUAGUAAAACGAUCAUAUAUAUAUCGUGCUCACUCAAGCUGAUAAAACACCACUUUGAAAAUACUUGAUAAAAUAGUCGUGUGUGGAUACACGAUUGGCCUGAGCCAAAACUUCAAUAUCUUUCUUUUAGAAAUUCUCACUAGUCAUAAUAAUCCGUAAACACAUUUUUGGUGCUGUAGACCGACGCCCGGUAUUUUCCAAUUAAAUACCAAAAUUCCUCAAUUUUGGAAUAAAUACCCAAAAUUAUAAUUCUCACCCAAUUUGCACAAUCUAGCAUUCAAUUAAAUAAACCAAACACACCAUUAAAAUCAGCACAAGAUUCCGAUCACCGGCUAUCUCGGUAUAAUUUCCAGAAAAUAAUAAAUAAUUAAAUAAUUACCAAAAUUAAUUAAAUAAAUACAAUUAAAUGCCAUAAAUAGAACUUAGGCCGGAAAAGCCUAAUUAAAUACCAAAACGGACCUAGAAAAUUUCUGAACCAAUCUAGAUAAAUAUUACAGCUUAUCUAGUCUCUAAUUAUGUUACUCUAACCACUUAACAUGCAUAAAUGAAUAAUUAAAUUGCUAAUCUGUUCUAACUAACCACAUAAUUCAUACUUAGCCUAAACUAAUCAACUCUUAAGUAUAAUUAAUUCCCUAAGCGAAGAUUAGUGAGUAAACUUGCUGGAAUAAUGAGCCGACGAGUUUGCGAUGGCGGCCGAAACUCAGGCUUACGGCAGUGCCAACGGAGGCUUAGAUAGGGCCGAAAAUGGCCAAGGAAGCUCACGGUUGAGCUGGUCUUGCUGCUUCGGUUCGGUGGGAGUGAAAACGGCGACUGAACGGGCACGACUUGGGGUUGGUCUUGGCAGUUGCAGGUGGUGGAGAUGGGCCACGAUGGAGCAGCAGAUUCGGUCGAAGAUGGGCACUGAUGGAGUCAACUUCGGGGGAGGUGUAACUGGUGGUUGACUCGGUGGGGAUACGUGGACGAAGGGGAAAACAGGGUAGUCGGUGGGGUUGGGACAGCAGGUGGUAGUGCAGCAAGGGGGAAAGAGAGGGGUUCGGUGGUGCUGGCAAAGGGAUGAAGACGCUGGCAGCAAAAUGGAGGGUGCUCUGUUACAAAGAAAAGGAAGAAAUGGAGGAGCUGGAACCGCGAAGAAGGAGGAGUCGUCGAAGCUGGCGUGCGCGGGAGAGAAACAGAAGAAGGGAGAAGGGAUAAGGGAGCAGGGAAUGUCGGC